AUUUCGAGCAGUAGAUCGCAACAUGUUGAGAGCCGCGGCUCGGUCCACGCUUUGAUGUGUGUGACCCACUUUGAAAUUCAUCUCACACGUUUUCUAUAUGAAGAUUCAAGGCGAUGUCCACGAGGAGAGGCUGGGCGUGGAGGCCGUGAAGUCGUCUUCCUUCUUGCGGCCGCCGCCGUGCUCCUUGUAGUCGCGGAAGCAGCGCUUGCAGCGCGUCGGCCACCGCACCUGCGGGUGGAAGCCCAGCGGGCACAGCGGGUCGCCCUUCGCCAGCGGAGAGACUAAGAGCCAGGCCCCAUUGCUCCGUUAUCUUGCGUUGCGUUGACGUCCGUCGACGCAUCAACACGGGAAUUAUGUUCUACGGUCUACCGGUCCACCGGUCAUGAAACUGGGAAUAUGGGAAGACGAGAGAGAGAGAGAGAGAGAGAAGACUUAUGUUGUACUUAUAUGAGUUCCGUACCAGAUGUGACGACUUUCUUGAUGGGCGUCCCCA
This is a long non-coding RNA of Plodia interpunctella (Indianmeal moth), 493 nucleotides long. RefSeq lists it as uncharacterized. NCBI's taxonomy places the organism in Eukaryota, Metazoa, Arthropoda, Insecta, Lepidoptera, Pyralidae. The transcript has 4 exons. The record is from RefSeq and is a predicted model, not a curated record.